Molecule: transfer RNA, 72 nt
Filed under: Ciona intestinalis (vase tunicate)
Lineage: Eukaryota; Metazoa; Chordata; Ascidiacea; Phlebobranchia; Cionidae
Rfam family: tRNA
About the family: Transfer RNA (tRNA) molecules are approximately 80 nucleotides in length. Their secondary structure includes four short double-helical elements and three loops (D, anti-codon, and T loops).
Source: Rfam by way of RNAcentral
UCCUCGUUAGUAUAGUGGUGAGUAUCCCCGCCUGUCACGCGCGAGGCCGGGGUCCGAUUCCACGACGGGGAG